GAUCGAACGGCGUGGCGGCGUGCCUAACACAUGCAAGUCGAGGCGAAGCACCGUUACUUGAUUUCUUCGGGAUGAAAGUAUUGUGACUGAGCGGCGGACGGGUGAGUAACGCGUGGAUAACCUGCCUCAUACAGGGGGAUAACAGUUAGAAAUGACUGCUAAUACCGCAUAAGCCCACAGCUCGGCAUCGAGCAGAGGGAAAAGGAGUGAUCCGCUUUGAGAUGGCCUCGCGUCCGAUUAGCUGGUUGGUGAGGUAACGGCCCACCAAGGCGACGAUCGGUAGCCGGACUGAGAGGUUGAACGGCCACAUUGGGACUGAGACACGGCCCAG
This 331-nucleotide ribosomal RNA is filed under the name uncultured bacterium. RNAcentral describes it as "bacterial SSU rRNA". It matches the Rfam family "Bacterial small subunit ribosomal RNA", at positions 37 to 334 of the family's 1533-position model. The record is from RNAcentral.